Transfer RNA from Caminicella sporogenes DSM 14501, 73 nucleotides. It matches the Rfam family "tRNA". From Rfam's summary of the family: Transfer RNA (tRNA) molecules are approximately 80 nucleotides in length. Their secondary structure includes four short double-helical elements and three loops (D, anti-codon, and T loops). Lineage: Bacteria; Bacillati; Bacillota; Clostridia; Peptostreptococcales; Caminicellaceae. The record is from Rfam.
GGGCGCAUAGCUCAGCUGGGAGAGCACCUGCCUUACAAGCAGGGGGUCAUAGGUUCAAGUCCUAUUGCGCCCA